AUCUCCCUAGUAUAAGAAGUAUACAUGACUUCCAAUCAUGUGACCUUGGUUAGAAUCCAAGGGGGGAUA
RNAcentral lists this transfer RNA (69 nucleotides) under Lophotus capellei (unicornfish). RNAcentral's name for it is "tRNA-Gly". It matches the Rfam family "tRNA". From Rfam's summary of the family: Transfer RNA (tRNA) molecules are approximately 80 nucleotides in length. Their secondary structure includes four short double-helical elements and three loops (D, anti-codon, and T loops). Lineage: Eukaryota; Metazoa; Chordata; Actinopteri; Lampriformes; Lophotidae. The record is from RNAcentral.